This is a long non-coding RNA of Aphidius gifuensis, 171 nucleotides long. RefSeq lists it as uncharacterized. The record is from RefSeq and is a predicted model, not a curated record. The transcript is spliced from 2 exons. Lineage: Eukaryota; Metazoa; Arthropoda; Insecta; Hymenoptera; Braconidae.
AAAGAAACAAAAAAAACAAAGUAAUUUAAAAAAUUAAGAUAAGUGAAUUGUAAAAAUACUGGAAAAAGGAAAAAGAGAAAAAUAAAGUACUCUGAUAUUUGUUGAAUGAGAAUGGUAGAUAUCAGUGUGGAUGAAAAGAUAAGAAGAAAAAAAAAAAAAGGAUAAACACUU